UCAUACUGAUAUUAUCUGUAUGUAUCUUUGUAUUUGUACAUACAAAGACUGCAGUAAAAUACAAAUUAGAGUAUUGUUGCCCUGAGGACAAGACCUAGUACUGACAGCAAGAAGAGGUGAAGAGGAAGGAGAUGGAUACAAAAUGCAGAUCUGAGAGCUGAUCUAUGCUCGCUGAUUUUCUGUUAAGGGUGAGGUACUCAAUGGCUGUACUACUAGGGAAGGCAGUACUACUGUGACACAUCUAGAACUUGAACACCCAGAUUUAGGUGCUUAUGAGUUGCUGGGUGCAUGAUGCUUUGGGAUUAAUAUAGCAGCCCUAUAGAGAAGGAUUUGGAGGGUUCUGGUGGACAAGAAGCUGAAUAUGAGCCAGUAGUAGGCACUUGCAGCCCAGAAGGCUGACAGUAUUGUGGGCAGCAUCAAAAGAGUGCUGGCCAUAGGGGAGAAGGGAGGUAAUUGUCUCCCUCUACCCUGUCCUUGCAAAGUCCCAUCUGGAGUACUCUGUCCAGGCCUUGGGCUUCCUAUACAGGGAAGAUGUGAAGCUGCUGGAGCAUGUUCAGAGGAGAGCCACAAAAAUAAUCAGAGGACUGGAGCACCUCUCAAUGAACUGGGCUUAUUCAGUCUGGAAAUGAGAAGACUCCAAAGAAACAUCACUGGAGACUUUAAGUACUUAAAGGGAGCUUAUAGAAAGGAUAGCAAAACAACUUUUUAUAUAGUCUGAUAGUGAAAGGGCCAGAGAGAAUGGUUUGAAUCUAAAAGAAGGGAGAUUUAGAUUAGAUUCUAGGAUGGUAGUUUUUGUUCAGGGUGGUGAGGCCCUGGCACAGGCUUCCCAAAGAAGGGGUGCAUACCCCAUCUCUAGAGGGGCUCAAGGCCAGAUUGAAUGGGGCCCUGGGGCAGUCUGGUUGAAUGGGCUCCCUGGGGGGAGGACAGUGAGUGCACCCUCAGUAAUUUGCAGAUUGCAUCAGGUUGGGAGGAACUGUUGAAUGGCCUGAGGGUAAGAAGGCGCUACAGAGGAAUCUGGACAGGCUGGAUAGCUGGGCUGGGCUGAUCCCAACAGGAUGAAGUUCAACAGGAUCCAGUGCUGGGUCCUGCACUUUAGCUGCAACAACCCCAGGCAAUGCCACAGGCUUAGAGCAGAGUGGAUGGAAGACUGUGUAGAAGAAAUGGUCCUGGGGUCAUUGGUCAAUGCUUGGCUGAAUGUCACCAAGCAGUGUUCAAGCAACCAAGAAGGCCAGUGCCAGAAGCAGCGUAUGUUCUGUUUGGCUCCCCACUUGAGGAUGCAUUUGAAGACAAAAGACAUAUAUGGCAUGAGAUAACUCUGGGAGCUACAUGCAGAUGGAAGCCACUCAGAAGAGCUGUGUGUGAUUUUGUGGCCCUGCCUCCAUACUUAUCUCUGCAGUAAAAUUAAAUCCAUGGUUGCUGGCUGGAGUUUGUUUCAUUCUACAGUUGGAAGAGGCUUUCCCACUCAGUAUCUUCUUUUAUGCCAUUUCUUGGAUUUGCAGUCUUUUAUUUGAAUAAAUCAAUGGAGUGACUCCUUCUACAAGGAUGAGAUUAAUAGGCAGUGAUUCCUUAUCAGUAUGAAGCUGGAUAUUUCAAUUUUUCCUCCAGAGCACAGUAAGCAGAGCAUGUAUGCUCUGAUCAGCAGCACGAACCACAAAGAGUGCCCAGCAGAUGCCCAAAUACCAUGUUUUUCAUCUAAUUUCGAUAUCCUUGACUCAUGCAUCCUGUCUAAGCUAAUGUUAGUUUCCUGACUGUAGUGUGUCUGCAGCACUGGACUGUCAACAAGUGCUUGAGCCAUCCCAGAAGGAUCACUACGCCUCGAUUUUGCUGUGCUUUUAAUGACUCUCUCAAAGAUGCCUCAUUACACCAAUUUAAUUCUGGAAUCUCUAGAAUUACACUGGAAUAGUAGAGCACUUUCCCCCUCCAAUUUAAAAAAAAUAAUUUUGGUGUGACAGUCUAAAACAUUCAGCUUUGCCUUGAUGUCUUAGAAAAACUAAGCUACUACCACAAGCAGUUGCGUUAAUUAUUCUACAUUACACAAUCACAUCCACCCCCUUGAAUGAAACAGCCCUAAACAGGAAGAUCUGAAUUGGAAUAGACCCACUGCUGUUUGUAAGUCUCCAUUUCCCCAAUAACUUGAACUUCUGUUGUAUGUCAACUUAAAGUAGGAGGCAUUGCUUUUGAAGCAGACCUAGUAUGUGCACCUAAUGCUAUAUUCAUGCUCAAAAGUUUCUAGAAAAGACCUUUGGUCCUAUGGACUUCUGCACAGCCAUCAGCUUUAAAAAUAUCAGUGCAGGUACAUUGUUUGGGCAGUGAGAUACCAGAAGUCUAUGGGGUCCCAACUCAGAUUUAUUUCCUUAAGUAGCAGGUUAUUCAACUAAGCAAUUAUUAGCUGAAUAAUAAAGGGAUGGAAGACAGCAUCUCACCUUAAACCAUGACAGCAAAGUCUGAAAUAGUAACAGUGACAAGGGCAGCUGCAUGUGCUAACACUUUGCAUAGAAAUUCACUUAACAUGAGGCACAGAUACAGGGUUUUCUUUGUUUUAAAUAAAGAAUGAGGUGAUUAUCUCAAGAUGCAGUCCUCCCAAGAGAAACAAACUGAAAUGACAAGAAAUCUGAAUGGUAAAUAUGAGGGCAGGAAGCACUAAAGCAGGAAAAGUGCCUUCAAAUAUCAAAAGCUGUGUUUAGCAAGGUAUGAGUCAUACCUUACUACAUCAUAAAACUUCUGUCCUUGUGCUUGUGAAAGGAGGUUAUCACAUUUUCCUUCUUCCAUGAGCUACUUCUGCUGAUCUCAUGGUGUUUAUCCAACCUACUGACAAGCACUUAACCUACUGAAAAAAACUCAAUUAGCCAUUCUAAAACAGGCAGAGUGGUUGCACUCAGCUCCCAUUUCCACUGUGCUGUUCAGGUUGAUUAAGGUUCAUUUUUCAGCCUAGUGAUCUAGUAGCAACGCUAGAGUACUUGAGGCAUUCUAAACCAGUAUCACCACCAGUGUCAUUGGGAUGGCCACGGUAUGUAGAUGCUCCUCCAUUCAGCUCUUAAGCCUUCCUUUCUUUGUAAGAACAAAUUUUCAAAACAAUACCAUUUGACUUUGAUUGUAAUCUUAUUUAAUAAAAAGAUUUAAAAGUGACCAAUGAAGCAAUUCAGUUUAAAAUGCAGCUGAGCAGUGAAAAAUGUUGAGUGAAGUAAAUACCAUAGCCACGUUUGCUCCAUGAAACUGCUUAGGGUGUGCAACACACUACCAGCUUCUGUUAUUUCCAAAUGCUACCGCUGCAAAACUACAGUGAGAAAAAAAAAAAAUAAAAAAAAAUUCUGUAGCUUGAAACUGUGUCUUGAAAUUGCUCAGAGAAGCCUAUGCAGGAACACAAGUUGCACAUCUGAAUAAUGGAGAUGGAAUUUAAUUGUCCUCUUAUUCUGUGAAAGAAAUGUAUAGCUUACAGCCCGCUUGAUAGCUGAAAGGAAGCUAUCAAAGCUAUCAAAGCUGCAGGAGAAAUAAUUAUGUUCUUCCCAGUAUUUUUUAAACUUCUCUCUUAUUAAGCUGAAGCAUUGACUUCUCUUGAUUAUCUGUUCAGACCAUUUAUAACGAAUGUGUACAAAUUAAACAAGAAGCCUCUUCUUACCAUCUGUGCAAGCACUGAUCACAAUAGAAAAGCCUCAGACACAUAAUUUUCAGUGUUGCAAAACUUUUGGAAUUAAGCCGUGUUUAGCAGAUCUCCUAGUUACAUGGCAGAAGGUAGUCCCAGCUCCUGUAAAGACUAUUCAGCACUAUAUAGAUCUAGAAGAGGUAAGAAACAACAUUUAUUUUUGAGCUCUCAUUUCUUACAUUAACUGAGAACUAUACUACUAGAUUUUAUAUAUAAUGGUUUAAUAUAGAACUAACAACAUAUAUAUCUUAUUAUAUUAGUUCAACAUGAUAGUUGUGCUAUCAAACUGGAUAUGAGACCUAUACAAAAUAUCUUGCUACCAUUUGCUGGAUUUUUAUUUUUGCCUCUGUUGACAGUUGACUUUAGAAAAGAAACACUGCUGUGCAAUCUUGAUAAGUAUUAGCUAAAUCUGCUAACAUAUUUGCCCUUUGGCUGUAGAAGACAUUGAAUUAUCCAUCAAGGAAGAAACAGCGAUUAAGACCACCACUGUUUCAGCCGUGGACAUGUUACACUUCCAAUAAUACUACAUUUAAUCAAGAGCCAGUGGUUGUUCUUGGAAACUAUUCAUAUUCUUUUGUAGAAGUUUUCAGCAACUGAGCUGCAAUGCUGUUACAUGGAUGUUUUUCCAUAUUAAAUUUGUUCAAAAUAGCUAAAUAGCUGAUGCAAAUCUUUUGGCACUUAUUUGUAUUACCAUAGCAUUCAGAGUGCAAUGUAAAAUACACCUAUAAGUACACUUGUUUACAAAGAUGGAGGAUGCCCGCAGUUAUCACACUGAAAGUGCUUAUAUAUUUCUGUUGGUGGUUAUUUUUUAUUUAUUGCUGCACACAGAUAAUCUGAUUGCUGUUAGUGAAUCAUAUUUAUAAGUUAUUAUGGGAGAUUGAUGGCAGUAGCGUAUUUAAGAAUGAGGAAAGCUUAUUAUUUUAUGAAUUCAAGUGAUACUGUAUGCACUUGUUUAAGCAGUAAAUGCCUAAACAAGCCUGAAUACAUAAUACUGUUUUCAACUUUGUAGACACAAUAGUUUUUAUUUUAUUUAAGAUUUGUCUUCUUUUUCCACAGUAAGCAGUCUAAAUUCUCAUAUCUUAUUAAUAAAACUGUCAAUCAGA
Molecule: long non-coding RNA, 4743 nt
Organism: Coturnix japonica (Japanese quail)
Lineage: Eukaryota; Metazoa; Chordata; Aves; Galliformes; Phasianidae
Source: RefSeq, a predicted model, not a curated record